Molecule: unclassified non-coding RNA, 347 nt
Filed under: soil metagenome
Description: partial contains 5.8S ribosomal RNA, internal transcribed spacer 2, and large subunit ribosomal RNA
Rfam family: 5.8S ribosomal RNA (bases 1-120)
Source: RNAcentral
GAUGAAGAACGUAGCGAAAUGCGAUAAAUAAUGUGAAUUGCAGAAUUCAGUGAAUCAUCGAGUCUUUGAACGCACAUUGCGCCCCCUGGUAUUCCGGGGGGCAUGCCUGUCCGAGCGUCAUUGCUGCCCUCAAGCACGGCUUGUGUGUUGGGCCCCCGUCCCCCCCUCCCGGGGGACGGGCCCGAAAGGCAGCGGCGGCACCGCGUCCGGUCCUCGAGCGUAUGGGGCUUUGUCACCCGCUCUGUAGGCCCGGCCGGUGCCUGCCGACCACCAUCAAUCUUUUUUCAGGUUGACCUCGGAUCAGGUAGGGAUACCCGCUGAACUUAAGCAUAUCAAUAAGCGGAGGA